Molecule: long non-coding RNA, 8639 nt
Filed under: Gallus gallus (chicken)
Lineage: Eukaryota; Metazoa; Chordata; Aves; Galliformes; Phasianidae
Description: lncRNA (ENSGALG00010014680.1)
Source: RNAcentral
CAUCUUGGGCUGCAUAUAAAAUAAAAUAUGUAACAAAAAUUAUUUUUAUUAUUUUUUUUAGUAAAACAUUUUAAAAGGGAAACAAACACACAAGACUAGCGGGUUGGACACAUGAUCUAGGCCAUGAGAAGGUCCCACAUAUCUCUGGGCAGCAAUUUGGAUUAAAGGAACUCUGUUGAAAUGGCAAAUUCCUACUACUUCUCACAGUAUAGCAGGUAGAACUGUUAUUCUCUCUUGUUACUUCCUGAUGUUUGAACUCAGUCCCUCAUUCCUCUACCAUUGCUUCUCGGUGUCACCCAGGGCUAUACAUAUGGCAACUGCACACACAGUCCUACUUGCAGAUGGGGCUUAGGCUAAAUGCUAGGCUUUGUGGCAUUUCUGUGCUAAUCUCUGAAGGCUUUUGGAUACACCCCUGAGGCAGUGCACUUCUAGAACCCCUGCUUGGCCAGACAGAAGUUUGGCUUCCCUGGGGUUAAAUCCCAAGAAGAUUUCAGUGGUAGUUAAGUUGGAUGUAGGCAGGUGGAAGUGUACAGCACUGCAAAAUGUAACUCCAUUGCCUCUUGGUUUUACUAAUGCCUCAAAGGAGGGCUGGCUCAUUCUAAGUGCAGUGCAAUAUCUAAGUAGAAAAAGAGAUGUUUGGAAAAAUCAUUCAUUAUAUUUUUCAGAAUAAAGCAAUCACAUCUUCCUUAGCAGAGAAUGCAAAGAAAGCUGUAAAUAUCACAGCUGCUCACUGGCAACUAGGAAAAAAAAAGAGUCAAAUUCAAAGCUUGCCACUUCUAUUCACAGUGAAUGACUUAGGAGUCAAAAGAAGAACAGGGUGUGUACAGUCUGAAGAGAAUAUUGCUGGUAAAAUUCUAAGGAUGCCUCCUAAAACUGGCAAUUGCUCACCAUGUCAGCUGGAAUAAAGUUUGUCACAUUGUAUGUCCAGAUGCAAUAUGGUGAUAUAUGCAAUUUCAGUCACUCUUUCCAAAUUGUGGGCUUUAUCUGAAAUGCUCUCAUACCCCAAACCGUCUGCAUUUUCAUUAAAAGAAUGAAUGUUCCUGUCAUCAUCUUGGUAGGAACGCCAACAGGAAAUAAGCUACCUCUAAAUGAAAAGAUGCAUUUUAUUGUUUGCAAAGCUGGGGAAAUAUGAAUCAAACUUACAACUUGGCUGGCAGGUGGUUUGUUUGGAGUAUGGAAUUAGUGCCUUUGUAGGGGUCUGACAAAUAGCCUGGGGUCUCAGACAAUGCACUGGCAUCCUGGUGGCUGCAUGAUCUUACAGAGAGCAUUAACUUCUCUGUGCCUCAGUUUCUUCAUCAGUAAAACUGUGAUAAUCAUUUUCUGCUGGAGUUUCCAGCUAAUAGGCUUGUUAUGCCCUGCAAAGCACUCAGAGAUCUCCAUCUGGAACAAACUACAGAAGUGCAAGUAUUAUUGCUAUUAGAAGUCCAUUACAGCUCUGUUUUGCUUUGUUCGUACUGGCCCUUUGGUACGUGCAGCUAGACAGCUCCUAAUGUUAUCUUGAUGCACAAAGCACUUUUUGUGUGAGGUUUGACUCACACUAAAAUGCCAGUUAGAAUUUUGUCCUCGGGAACUCACUGGAGCUUGGCUUACAGAAUCUGAAAAUUAAAUCAACCAAAAUAGGUCAAACACAAAACUAUAUGUCCUUAUGUGUCCUCUUGUCCUCUUUAGCAGUAUAGCGCAUAGUUGUUGUUUUCUUAUCUGUAAAGUUUGGGCCUGUUUUGUUCCUCAGCCAGCUUUGCUACUGAUAUCUUGGUUACAUUUUGAAUACCUGCUCUUGAGAAUUUUCUGUUCCCAUUAAAUAUAGUUUAGAAGGACACGCUCAUCUGUUAGUGGUCCAGAAAUAACGUGCUGAAUGCACCAGCAGCUGAUGCGACUGAACGCGAUACAAAAGUGUAUCAUUCUGUUAGAGUUUGUUGGUAGGCAUCAUUAUGGAAAUGUUUUUGAGCCUUAAAAAAGGGAAUAGUGUAUCGGAAAUUGAAUCAAACGUUAACAGAAGCUGCAGUUUGUGGUUUACUUUUCCCUCGUAGCUAGUUCUUUAGGAAUUAUUCCUGUUCACAUAAUCCUUUAAGUUAAUGUAUUUAUUCCGUGCGUGCUUUAUAAUUUCUAUUCAUUCAUAUGUCAAGUAGCUGAAGGUGCUGCUUCAAUUAGUAUUUACUUCAGUGUUAUACUGUUUUGAAUUGGUUGUUUGUUACAGUCACAAUGCAGUGAAUAAACGUGUUAAUAUUUGAAGUGGGAAGGGAGGUAAAAUGGGAAACCGUCUGCUCCAGUCGCGGCCCAGCUUUCUGGUUACAACAUAUUAUAAUUUAUUUAAACCCAAUCAAUACUUAAUCUGGAGUUUAAAUUCCGCUAAAGAUCUGUGGCAUAGCUAAAAGCAGCUGAUGCCAAAGAAAAAAAAUUUCUUCAGGCUGUGAUUCUGAUGAAUUUAUAAUGCGCUCUAAGGGUGAUGCAUUGACCUAAAUUCACAGAAGCGCUGCAAUUCGUAUUUAUUAUUGUGAAAGGUGUCCUACCAACACUUUUCUUCUUCUGAAUGUUGAGAGCCUGUGUGAGAAAGAUGGGCGGCUGCAGAGGAAGGAGCUGCACGCACAGCCCGGGAGGGUGGGAUGGGACUGAGCGCGGCCCUGUGCCGCACACCGGGCGGUGAGUCACUGUGACCCCGAGAUUCAAGGCAGGAAUUAAUUCAGCACUGCAAAAAUCUGGCAAAUGUUUGAAGCCAGCAGUGAAAGCAGACUUCCUGAGAGGUGUGUGUUUGUGGUGACAAUUUGGAUUUAUUUUGCUGGCAAUGCAAAAGACAUUGUUACGGCAGGAAGAAGACAGUUGUGUUAAAAACUGCUUCUCUUUUUUAGUUCUCCCCCCCCCCCAGCCUUUCUGGGGAAAUAGAUUGUGAUCUCUGCGGGGUUUGGUUUUCUCUGUACAGCUCUUUAAACUCCCCCAGGCACAGCCAUCUCAGGGCAGGGCCCACGGGCAGCUCCUACCAGCACUGCAGGGAUGUGCACACACCAUUCUCUUGUAAGGUCUGGGCAACCUCAUAUUUCCCAGCACAUUUUGGCAAGCUUUUACUCAGAGUGGUCCAACAGCUUUUCAUAGUAAGUGAAUGACUUCCCAGUGACCUGAGCCCUCUUCCAAGCCUCCUUUGUCACCCUGACAGCUUGCAGUCAUGCUUUUCUGAUCUUGUGCAAAGCUAUAUGUUUUACCAGAUCUGUAACUGCAGGAGACUUGGUUGUUCUGAAAAUUAACUGGAUGAAUAAGGGAAAUGUAUAGUGGAUAAAGGCUGACAAUCAUCCCCACUUCUUUUAUGAUACAAUGCCCUGCCCUCAUGAGAAGGGAGAAGAGCUCAAUUCUCCCUCCUAAUUGAUAGGUGCAUACUUGUCAGAUGUGGUUUCCCCAGGCAGUCUGUAAGGCAGGACUCACCCCCACACACCGUUCAUCCCCAGUCCCUCACCUGUGUGCUUCUGGGGCAUCACAUCAGACACUCUCCCAGCAUGUGUCUUCUUGCUCUAUUUUGUGCCCGCCUCUGCCCAUAUUGCUGCUGUAGUGGUUUAUGCCAGAAUAAAUAUGGGCUAGCAUAAAUCCUCAGGCUUGGAAGGCAUUAGCCUGCCUUUACUGUAGCACAAUCGACAGCUGUACCUGGCACCACGACCUCAUUGCACCCCAGCGUGGCAGCAUCCAGAGCCUUGAUGCAUUGGAGGAGCAGAGCCACAUGCUUGCUGAGGUUUGUUCCUCUGGGCUGGCCCUGAGGAUGAGAACAGCAUGCAAACACAGCUUCUCAGCAGGAGCAACUAUUAGUUUCAGCUUUAACCUUUACUUAAAAAUAUGAAGCUGCUGAGCAAAAAUGCAAAGGCUUAGUGUUCAAACUCACGCCUAACUCAGAGAGCUGGGUUCCUAGAACCAACUGUGAAUUUCAGUUUAGCAGCAAGGAAGUUUAUGUUCAACUUCAGUUUUUCUUCCAGCUAUAAUGCUCAAAGGGAGUACUUCAGUAUCUGUCUUGCUUUUUGUUAGGGAGAUGAAACAAAACAAAACACCAUUUGUCAUAAUUCUUUGGGAUUGCUAUUAUGGCCAGGAGAAAAGCGGGCUUCUGCUAGUUCAUGUACGAGUCAAAAGAAAGGCAUAUUCCUUUCCCCACAGGAUCCCAAGUGGAAGAGUUGGUGGAUAGGUAAGAUAAAAAUGGGUAUAGAUUGUGAGAGACAGGCUGACAAAAAAAAGUGCGUGCAGUUUUUUCACUAUUCUAGAGCAGUAAUUGUACUUUGCUUACAUACCUAAGCAUGUUUAGGUGGCAAUUUUCUUUCCUUGUAACAGAAGAGGUGACUUUCAAGAGAAUAAUCUGAAGGAGGUUGUGGUGGAUGACUGUUUUCCUUGUUGUUGGUUUUUUUUGUUUGUUUGUUUUAUUUUGUUUCUUUAAAUUCAGAAUGUUUUUUACCAGGUCAACAGGCCAAUUUCUCUCCAUUGUUCACAAAGCUAUUGGGUAUUUUUUUUUCCUUCCCACUGUGCCUUGAAAAAACAACUUCACUUAAGUUCAUGUGUGAAACCUUUUGCACAACAGAAGUGGUUUCUUGUGGCCAGUAAGACUAAAUGUUCUGAGCAUUCCAGGAAGCAUAUAAAUAGACUGAUACUCUUCCUAAGGUUAUAGAGCAUUAUUUCUCCCUUUUUUUCUUUAUUUCUCCUCCUGUCCUACUCCCCUACCUUCAGUUACGCUCUCUCCAUCUAGGCAAAGACCAAACAAAGUGCAGUGUUUGAAAAUCCUGACCAUCAUUUUCCAUUUUACUUGGGUUUUCCUCAGUUACAUGUUCUGAAUAGAAAUUGUUCGAGUAAAUGCAGCACAGUAAAUUAUCUUAAAUUACUUCUUAUAGUCCAGACUAGUAUUAUAACAUGAAAAUUGUUACUUGGAGUCUCCCACGCCCCUGGCUGCUGCAGACCUGUGUCUCCAGGCUGGGGAGAAAUGGAUCACAGUACUUAUCCAGCAGAGCCUGCAGGCCAAUCCACAAUGUGGAAAGUGGAGUUCACAUAAAGGAGGUCUCUUAUCCUUUCCUCUCAAUCCUGCUAGAUACAGCAAAGCUGUCACAAUGGUCAAAUAUAAUUAAAAUGGUGAUCUGCCACUGAAGGGUAGGCCAAUGUCUAUGCAGAAACCAGAUGAGGAAUUAUUCAAGCCAAAAACAUUAAAUCUCAGCUCAUCCGUGGUUACCAUAAAACAGCCAUCCUGUUCCUUUGAUCUAUGAUGAAUUUGAAUGUGUGUUAAUAAGACAUAUAUGCUGGGCAUCAACAUCAUCUUCUGUUGAACGAAGGUAAACACUGCAUUCGUCUCUGUAAAAUAUACUUCAGUAGUUGGGAAGAAAGUGGAGAUUCAUUAUUUUUGCAGUUGUAGAAGACAUUUAGCAGCUGUGUUUAUACUGGCAGACAAUUUGGAUAUUAGGUGGCAGGACAGAGAACUGCAGAUGCACGAUAUCGUGCAGACAUUGUGCACUUACAGCACAUUUCCAGGGAAACAUGUUAUUUUAUAUUUCCCUUGGUGUCAUUAAUCACAUUUCAUGAUGUAUCUCACUAUUUCAACUCAUUCCCCUAGAUUCAUUCAUUUUUUUGGCCUGUUUAUUUAAUAGUUAUUGAGCUCCAUUUCAACAAAUUCCAUCUUAACCACAGAUAAUAAAGUUCCUUUUGCUUCAGGGGAGAAAAUUAAGAUGGCCCUGUACUGAUUUCAGGGACUACCUGUAAUAGUCAGCAUGUCUGCUGCAUCAGAAAGAUACUUUGUUUGCCUUUGGUCAGAAAAAUGUUCAUGCUGUUCUUUGCAACUUAAAAAUUAAACUCAUUUCCUGAAAGUAAAAAUAUGAUUCUUAUCUUGAACUAUAAAGGAAAACAGCUGCACUUUAUUCUGUUCUCGAAGUUCUCUAAUCUCUCUGGAGGCUUUGUUUUGGUUUCACAGGUGAAUCCCUUAAACUGCAGCAGCAAUGAUGGCUCCUCCUUGGCAGAAACAUGCUGAGAGGCAGUUGGGAAUCCCCUGCUCUGGAGCUGCAGCCUGAGGAACCUCAGCGUGUAAGAAGCGUCUCUGAGGCACUCACAUGGUGAUGGUUAUACAUCUCCUGCUUACCCCAACUUAGUGAAAGCUGUCUUCAAGCAAAUAAGACUGGCAGCAAGGCUGGGAGUGCAAUCACCUGCUGGCAUAAUCCCUGGACUCUUCUUAAAGGAAUUCUAAAAAGGGAAACUCAGGAAUGCCUACCUGACUGUCCAGAGAACUGCCAUCCAGAGGAGCAUCCUACAGCAGCACAAGCAUUUCAUCUUCUGGAUUUGUGGAGACAUGUGGGAUUUGUUGAUGCUGAAGGCAGGAGGAAGUCAAGGGAGAAAAAAAGAAUUCUGGGAGAUUUUAAAAACAAAAAUGAUUCUCACUAGGAAACUUGGUAAAACCGAAGAUCCAAAGUGAAACAUCAGGAAACAUCACCAAAAUGAAGCCCGUUGGAUGUUUGCAGCUGUUUCUUUAGUCCUGAUUAACAGGGAUUUUCUGAGAAGAGCUGCACAAGUGCAGUCCCCAUUCAGCGUACAGAUUUUCCAGAGUGAUCUCCAAGUUGUAAUGGACAACCUCUUUCCUGCCAGCAGAGCCCAGAGAGGAAUAAACCAAGACCACCAGCUAAGUCAUUGUGUAAUGUGCUGUGGAUAUGAGCAUCGAAUGCCCUCAGAAAACUGGAGUUGUUAUGAGAAUGGUGCAAAAGAAUCUUAUGAGAAAUAUCCAACAAAAUGUCCACUUCACGAUGUCACUUGCUCCGAGUUUCAAAAAAUCAUUAAAUAUAAUUACGCUAAUUUGGCAAUGACUCAGGACCAAAUCAUCCUUUUGCGGGAAUUACCUACGAAGGAAACUGGACGCUCCAUGGCAUCUGUGUCAUCCUUCCCUCCAGAUGGUGCCUCCAAAUCUGUUCUGAAAUGGCAUGUGCAAAGCAAAUCCAGAGUGCCUAUCAUUCAGCCCUCUGAUGGCAACUCUCAGACAACUCGGGGACAGACAGAACACAAAACCAGAAAUAAGGACUUGCAACCGUGGCUGAAGAUGCCCAGAGAGUCGUGUAUGUAACAGCCAGCGAGAGGCAGAUGACAGCAACAAGAAAUUUCACAGCUCCAAAGAGUGAACGUACCACGGAUUAGUACCGGAGACAGAAAUACUUCUAUGAAAACCAUGAAGGAAGUUCCGGAAUCUAGAGUAACUCUCGGAUGCACAGAACUGGAGACUUAAAAGAUCCUCAGUUCCCCCAGGACCUGAGCAUGUAGAAACGUGGGGGCCUGGCUGUCCUUCUGGUCUGCACGCGUGGCCUCAAGCCCGAAUCCCUACAACAGCAUCUCCACUGGCAGCAAAGCGCUUCUUUGCCCUUUACCACUGAACUGCUGUGGCUUGAUUGUGUGAAACUGAGUUUCAGGAUGCAAGAUACUGUUCAGAUAGUUCUGCAAUACAUUCUUCAGACCCAGCAGCUUUGGCAGGCCCGUGGAUGAUGGAAUAACCAGAUCUCUGCGGCCACCCCUGAAAAACAGAUUCUUUCUUCUGGAUUCCCUGGGAUUCUCUCAGCAGCCAGCCUUGUUUACAGAAGUCAGCGCGGACAGUAACAGCCCUUCACCAAUGAGCCACAGUGGACCCUUUGGGGAAGGCUCCUCACGGUGCUCUGUCAUCUGCUGACAAAGUGGUGCCAGGACCAGAACUUCACAAUGAACUCUGCGGAGAAAAAUCCACAGCAGAUGAAGGAAUCUCGAAGUCAGUGACAGGUAGACUCAGGCUUAAAGUGAGAGGAUCCCCCACGUCACUGGUUUCAACUAGAGGAUACGUCUGUGCUAUGAGAAUACUCAGUAUGAGAAACGUGCUGCGAAACAGAGGCAGCCAGUUGGAGCAGUGCUUCAGACUAAGCUGAGGUCAGUUUUAGAAUCACAGAACACUUCAGGCUGGACAGGAACUCUUGAUGUCACCUCAAUCCACGCCCUGCUCAAAGAAGGUCUCACUACGUCAGAUCGCUCAAGGCUGCAGCCAGUCAAGUUGAACCCUCAAAUGGGGAGCCUCUGCUGAAUGCUGGUUACUGCAAGGUACUGGUUAAACGAAUUCAUAUGCAAAAAUAUUCUUACUUUUUUCUGGAUACAGUUUGAAAUGCUCCACUUUCAGAGUUCAUUCACUUUCUUGGUUGUGUAUGUACUGUCCAAAAAUCAUAUCUAAGAAGAUAGUUGUUUGGUGAUGGGAGGUACAUUUAGGCUUGUAUGAGUCUACAGUGAUAAUAAUCAUCUAACUAGCUUAGAUUGCAAAAGUUAAUCUAGUAAAAUAUUGGGUGAUGUUGUGACUGGCUGGAUAGAUGAGAGGAGAGCAGUGAAUGUUGUCUACCUUGACUUUAGUGAGGCUUUUGACACUAUCUCCCAUAACAUCCUCAUGGUUGAAGUUAGGAGUUGUGGAACAGAUGACUGGACAGUAAGGCAGACUGAGAACUGGCUGAUGGCACAGCACAGAGGGUUAGGAUCAGUAGCGCAAUCCUAGUUGGUGUUUUCACAGGAUCGGUACUGAGUCCAGUCUUGUUGAACAUCUUCAUCAGUAAACUGGAUGAAUGCAUGGACAGCAUCCUCAGCAAGUUGUGUGAUGAUACAAAUCUGGGAGUGGCUGACACACCAGACGGUUGUGCUGUCGUUCAGUGAGACCUGGGCAG